RNAcentral lists this unclassified non-coding RNA (170 nucleotides) under soil metagenome. Its description in RNAcentral is "partial internal transcribed spacer 1". The record is from RNAcentral.
CCUUUCAAUGCAGCAGAAUUGGGAUGAUUGAGUAUCUCGCCUCUCCGUUCUGCCUGUAUUCUACCCUUGUUUGUCAUAUACUAUUAUUUCCUCGGCAGGCUUGCCUGCCGAGUGAAACCAUUUAUAACCUUUUUAAUUUUCAAUCAGCGUCUGAAAAAAAUUAAUAAUUA